GCCGAUGUGGUGAAACUGGCAGACGCAGCGGACUCAAAAUCCGCCGGGCUAACCCCCGUGACGGUUCGACCCCGUCCAUCGGCACCA
This 87-nucleotide transfer RNA is filed under the name Clostridiales bacterium. Its description in RNAcentral is "tRNA-Leu". It matches the Rfam family "tRNA". From Rfam's summary of the family: Transfer RNA (tRNA) molecules are approximately 80 nucleotides in length. Lineage: Bacteria; Bacillati; Bacillota; Clostridia; Eubacteriales. The record is from RNAcentral.